Molecule: transfer RNA, 73 nt
Filed under: Ovis aries (sheep)
Lineage: Eukaryota; Metazoa; Chordata; Mammalia; Artiodactyla; Bovidae
Rfam family: tRNA
About the family: Transfer RNA (tRNA) molecules are approximately 80 nucleotides in length.
Source: Rfam by way of RNAcentral
UCCCUCAUGGUCCAGUGGCUAAAAUUCUCCUCUCCUAGUGCAGGGGGCCCAGGUUCAAUCCCUGGUUAGGGAA